CUGUGCAAAGGUAGCAUAAUCAUUAGCUUUUUAAUUGAAGGCUUGUAUGAAGGGUCUGACAAAGAAAAAGCUGUCUUUAAUUUUAUUUUUGAAAUUAACUUUUAAGUGAAAAGGCUUAAAUGAAUUUAAGGGACGAUAAGACCCUAUAAAUCUUUAUAUUAAAUUUUUAUCUUAAAGAUUAAUAAUUUGUCUAGAUUAUUAAGUAAAUAAUAAAUAUUUUGUUGGGGUGACAAGAAUAUAUAAUUAACUGUUCUUAUAUAAAACAAAGUUGUUUGUUUAAAUAAAAUAAAGAUCCUUUAUUAAAGAUUAAAAGUUUAAGUUACUUUAGGGAUAACAGCGUUAUUUUUUUUGAGAGUUCUUAUCGAAAAAAAAGUUUGCGACCUCGAUGUUGAAUUAAAAUUUCUCUACGGUGUAGAAGUUGUGGGAGAAAGUCUGUUCGACUUUUGAAAUUUU
Molecule: ribosomal RNA, 453 nt
Filed under: Paramunida scabra
Lineage: Eukaryota; Metazoa; Arthropoda; Malacostraca; Decapoda; Munididae
Description: partial 16S ribosomal RNA
Rfam family: Bacterial large subunit ribosomal RNA
Source: RNAcentral